CCUUUUGUAUAAUGGGUCAGCGACUUAUAUUCUGUAGCAAGGUUAACCGAAUAGGGGAGCCGAAGGGAAACCGAGUCUUAACUGGGCGUUAAGUUGCAGGGUAUAGACCCGAAACCCGGUGAUCUAGCCAUGGGCAGGUUGAAGGUUGGGUAACACUAACUGGAGGACCGAACCGACUAAUGUUGAAAAAUUAGCGGAUGACUUGUGGCUGGGGGUGAAAGGCCAAUCAAACCGGGAGAUAGCUGGUUCUCCCCGAAAGCUAUUUAGGUAGCGCCUCGUGAAUUCAUCUCCGGGGGUAGAGCACUGUUUCGGCAAGGGGGUCAUCCCGACUUACCAACCCGAUGCAAACUGCGAAUACCGGAGAAUGUUAUCACGGGAGACACACGGCGGGUGCUAACGUCCGUCGUGAAGA
This 412-nucleotide ribosomal RNA is filed under the name Escherichia coli. Its description in RNAcentral is "partial 23S ribosomal RNA". It matches the Rfam family "Bacterial large subunit ribosomal RNA", at positions 604 to 1016 of the family's 2925-position model. Lineage: Bacteria; Pseudomonadati; Pseudomonadota; Gammaproteobacteria; Enterobacterales; Enterobacteriaceae. The record is from RNAcentral.